RNAcentral lists this unclassified non-coding RNA (445 nucleotides) under Hevea brasiliensis (rubber tree). The record is from RNAcentral. Lineage: Eukaryota; Viridiplantae; Streptophyta; Magnoliopsida; Malpighiales; Euphorbiaceae.
UUUAUGCACCUCUAUAUAUUGCUGGACCAAUUGUUAGCUUCAACGCAUUUGCUUCACAGCUUGAUACUCCCCAGAAGACGCACUCAUUGAAAAAAGUGGUGUGGUAUGGACUUCGUUGGAUUUUCAGCCUGAUGCUUAUGGAAUCAAUGACACAUUUCUUUUACUACAAUGCAUUUGCCAUUAGUGGCACAUGGAAAUACUUAUCUCCUUUGGACAUCUUCAUCAUCGGGUAUGGAGUAUUGAACUUCAUGUGGCUCAAGUUUUUUCUACUUUGGCGCUACUUUCGCUUCUGGUCACUGAUCAAUGGUAUUGAGGCCCCUGAGAAUAUGCCUAGAUGUAUAAAUAAUUGCCACAACUUGGAAAGCUUUUGGAGAAACUGGCAUGCCUCGUUUAACAAAUGGCUUGUUAGGUGCUUUCUCAAUCUCAUCUAGCUUUAUCUGUGUGA